AACGCACAUUGCGCCUCCUGGUAUUCCGGGAGGCAUGCCUGUUCGAGCGUCAUUAAAAACCACUCAAGCUCUUUUGCUUGGUAUUGGGAGAUGAGUAUACUUUUCCUAGUUUACUCACUUUCGAAAUUCAAAGGCGUAGAGCCCCACAUACCACAGCGUAGUAAGUUUUCUUUCGCUUGGAGUGUGAGGUGAUAUUGCCACAAACCCCCAAUUAUUUUCUAGGUUGACCUCGGAUCAGGUAGGGAUACCCGCUGAACUUAA
RNAcentral lists this unclassified non-coding RNA (261 nucleotides) under uncultured Pyronemataceae. RNAcentral's name for it is "sequence contains ITS2". The stretch from base 1 to 52 matches the Rfam family "5.8S ribosomal RNA", at positions 103 to 154 of the family's 154-position model. Lineage: Eukaryota; Fungi; Ascomycota; Pezizomycetes; Pezizales; Pyronemataceae. The record is from RNAcentral. RNAcentral also lists the same sequence under 1 other name.